Molecule: long non-coding RNA, 6422 nt
Filed under: Sus scrofa (pig)
Lineage: Eukaryota; Metazoa; Chordata; Mammalia; Artiodactyla; Suidae
Description: lncRNA (ENSSSCG00060060963.1)
Source: RNAcentral
CUUUGUUAACACUUUUGUUUUCUUUGCUCUCAUUUGGUUGCCAUUUUUCUUUGUCCCCCUCCCCCAGCCCCUUUCGGUGUCUCAAGUUUUUGUUUGUUUUUUUUUGUUUUGUUGUUUUAUUCACCUUCCCCCGAGUGUUUGCCUCGUGUUUGCCUCAGUGUCUGCUCCUCCAGGUUCUUUUGGGAUGACUGUCAGUUAAGCCAUCCUGGUGGCUGCCCUGGAGAAAACCAGCAUCUUGUUAGGCCUGAAAGUACAAACUGCAGUCUGAGGAGGUGAGGAGCCAAGGCAUAAUUCUUGGAGGAUUUCAGGGGGUUGCAAGAAACAGUAUUGAAACAAUGAAGCACUGAGGUAAAAAAAAAUCUUGAUAUUCAACAAGGAAUGAAGUAUACAGACUUAUCAAGCAAACAUCAGUUUACAUACUGAUACCACCAGUUCUUCACCAUGCUCUUAGGAAUUGCAAACCGUAAAUUGAAACCAGCUUUUUUCUUUUUCUAUUUCACUUCAGCUGUAUUCUUUUCCAUAGGCAGGUCAGUCUCUUUGUGUUUGAAGUAAUCACCUGUCAAAUUGGAAUCUAAAACACAGUUUGAGCUAAGCAUGGUAUACAUUGUGUAUGUAGUGGAAAGCAAGUUGGAGUGCCCAGCACACAUUGAAGGCAGACAAUACCCAAGUGUCCAAACGGAGUUUGGAGCAGGGAAAGGUUUAUUGCAAGGCUGUGCAAGGAGAUGAGUGGCUCAUGCCCUCCAAACUCCCCUAAGGCUUUCAGCAAUGGGUUUUUAAAGGCAAAGUGAGGGAGGGGUUAUGUGUUGGCUGUUGCAAACUUCCUGGUGAAGGAAUCUUUUGUUCUUUUUUUUUUUUUUUUUUUGGUCUUUUUUGGACUGCACCCGAAGCAUAUGGAGGUUCCCCGGCUAGGGGUCAAAUCAGAAUUGUAGCCACUGACCUACACCACAGCUCACCACAAUGCCAAAUCCUUAACCCGCUGAGCAAAGCCAGGGAUUGCACCUGCAUCCUCAUGGAGGCUAGUCAGAUUUGUUUCUGCUGAGCUACAAUGGAAACUCCUUUUGUUGUUGUUGUUGUUGUUCUUGAAGCUGUCUGCAUAGGUCAGGUCAGGAUGGUCUUGUAAACCUCCAACCAGACACAUGUUUUUCUCUGUUCUGAAAUUUUUCCUCUCUAUAGGAAUGGGAAAAUGUUACACUGUUAAAGGUGGAAGCAUAGAGAAUAGGCUAUCCUGUCUAUUUCAGGCUAUAGGCAACAUUCUUAACUGGAGACAAAAGCAAUAGAAUGUAAAGUUUAAAAGAAACAGAUUUAAUAUGGAGUCAGAUUUGUUCUUCCCUAUUACCUGAAUACACACAUAUGUAUAUAUUUUAAUAUUUUUCUUUUUCUCUCUAUAUAUAUCAUGGGAGGUUUUUUAAUUUACAUUUUUGGUUUCAGGAUUUCUGAGGUCAUUGGCAUAGAAGACCUGAUGGUGGUCUUGCUGUCUUUGUUUAUAGUUACAAAGCUGUAGGAAGAGCACUGGGCAUCCCAAAGCCACAGGCUUCCCUGAAACUUGGCCACUUACUGCCUGUGGGCAUAGCUGCGGUCCUACUCUCUGGAUCGGAGUGUCCUUCUCUAAUAAGUGACAGGCACCAUUGGCCUAGACAAGAGUCAGGUCAUCUUUACCCCAUUGUGGCCCUAAUGACACCCUAAUCUGCAUCACAGCCAAAGUAAGAUCAGUUCAAGGCAAUGGGCAGUGUAAUUAGAAAUAGGUAGAAAGCUGAGACUAUAAAUGCCCUUCUGACUAAUGUCCACAACUUCCUUGAUAAGUUAGUUCAGUGCCACUACGGCUAUUGGGCCAGCCCAGAAAGAAAUGUUCUUGACUUCAAAAGAGUGGGGAACUAAGAGAGAGUCUUUCCCUUCUUAAGCUUUGCUAGAGUGUGAACACCAGGCGAUUUGAGAGUUUUAGUUUUUGCUGAGAACAAGUGUAAGUGGGGCUUAAGUACAGAGAAAUGAGACACCAAGGCCUUUUACCAGGAAGAAGCGUUUAUUCGUGCUGGCACUGGCUCAGCAGAUUAGUAUCCAGAGGCUGAGCCCCAAACACAGUGGGGCACCGCCUUAUAUACCCCACUUAUUUUUCCCGUUACACCUAAGUUUCUUUGUCCCCCUUAUCAGGCAUGCUAUAAAUUUUAGGCAGACAACUAUAGUUACACCUGCGCUCAAGGAUAUAGGUCGUGCUUCAUCACUACAGAACUACGCAUGCAUAUACAGAUGCUGGCGGUGCUGCACGUCUCCUUCCCUUUAAUCUGGGAGAGCACAGCCCCCUCCCACUACACAACCAGCUCAAGAUCCCAAUAGAAUCAUGACUUCCUUUACCUGCUGGCUGACUUUGUGUUGGCUGAUCAAUUAUUUAUAGAGCAUCUUCUAUAAGAAUAAAAUGUCCUUGACGCCCUAGAGCAUAUUGUCACAAGCACAACAUUGUGCUCUAGAGGCACUCAAACCUUAAUUAGAGAGACUAGCUAUGGCUACCUUAAAACAUCAUUGAGGAAUUCCUGCUAUGGCACAGUGGGUUAAGAAUCCGACUGCAACAGCUUGGGUCACUGCAGAGGUGAGGGUUCAAGCCCCAGCCUGGCACAGUGGGUUAAAGGAUCUGGCAUUGCUGCUGCUGCUACAGUGUAGGUCACACCUGCAGCUCAGAUUCAAUCCCUGGCCUGGAAACUCCUAUAUGCAGCGGGCUCAGCCAUAAAAUAAAGAAAUGAAAAAUCGUUGAAAUCAAGGAAAGACUGAGGAACUGUUUCAGGUUGAAGGAGGCCAAAGAGACAUGACAACUAAAUGCUACAUGUGAUCAGAACUGAAUUCUUUUGUGAGAAAGGCCAUUUUUGGGGCAAUUGCUGAAUGUGGAAUGGUGUCUGAGGAUAAAAUAGCCACAGCAUAUCAAUGUUACUUUCCUGAUUUAGAUGAUGAUGUUAUAAGUUGUGAAGGAGAAUGUUCUUGAAGAAAAUCUAUCCUUAAGUAUUCCAGAGUGAUGGAGUAUCAAGUUGGCAACUUACUGUCAUUGGAAAAAUGUUCUUUAAACUUCCGGUAACAACCAACCUGGUGUGUCUGGGACAGUCCCAGCUUUAGCAUUAACAGCUGUGUGUUUGGGCAACACCUCAGCCCCAGGCAACUGGGGAUGGUUGGCCACCCUCUUUUUAUCAUACUUAUUGUUACUAUCCUGUUAGUUUGAGUUGCUUGCUUCAAAAUAAAUAUUUUGAUAAAAAAAUUAGAUGACUCAAGUAAUAAUAAUUCAAAUGACUGAUACAAGUGUUCAGCCAAGAAGCAGUACAUGCUUAGUUUCCGAGCAGUGGUACAGCCAGUAUGUGAUGUAGUUGGCAGAAAUGAUCAUGUUAAGCUGGAAUGGUCAGAGGUGGCUGAUGUCACCAACAGGGAUGACAGGAGUACUGUAUGCUGAGGAAUCCUGCCAGUUCCCAACACCCACCACUGUGGUGCUGCAGACCUUGGCCCUGCUGAUCUCAAUCCAGCUGACCUUGAACAAGUUACUUUCCCAUUGCCUGCGUCCGUCUUCUCAUCUGCAAGAUAAGAAUGUCGUGUAGUGGAUUUCCAACAUUUUUAUCAAUAAGGGAAACUUUAUUCUUUUUUUUUUCUUUUGUUUUUAGGGCCACACCAAGGCAUAUGGAAGUUCCCAGGCCAGGGGUCAAAUCAGAGCUGCAUCUGCCCACCUACGCCACAGCCACAGCAACACCAGAUCUGAGACAUGUCUGCAACCUACACCAGAGCUCACGCCGGAUCCUCAACCCACCGAGCAAGGCCAGGGAUCCAGCCCACAUCCUCAAAGAUAGUUGGAUUAUUUUCUACUGCGCCACAACAGGAACUCCCAGGACCUUUAUCCUUUAAGGCGGUCUCGCCAUUUAAGAAGCAGUGGAACUGUUCUAAUUGAAGUACAUAAAGUGUUUCUACUCUUGCCACCCCCUGGGCCUCUCUCAAGCCCCUUGCCCUGUGCUUUCUCUGAUCCUCCUUGCAGCCCUAGAGCUCUGUAGAGUGCAGAGUGAAAGGCACUGGGCUGGAAAAUAUUUGUUAUUUAUAAUGAUCUUUUCCCCACUUUACACUGGUUAUCAUUUGUUUUGUGUAUGGUAUGAAUACUUAAGAUCUGCCUUCUUAGCAAAUUUCAAGUUACAACAGUGUUAUCAGCUAUAGUCAUUGUUAAAAUCUAAUGCUGUACAUCAGAUCCCCGGAACUUAGUCAUCUUUUAAUUGGAAGUUUGUGCACUUUGCCCAACGUCUUCCCACCUCCCAGGCUCCAACAAACACCAUUUUACUUUCUGUUUUUGUGAAUUCAGCUUUCUUUAGAUUCCACAUAGAAGUGACAUCAUCCCGUAUUUCUUUCUGUGUCUGGCUUGUCACUUGAUAUCAUACCCUCAGGUUUAUCCAUGUUGUUGCAAAUGGCACGAUUUCCUUUAUAUAUAUUUCACAUCUUCUUUUUCAUUCAUCUGUUGACACUUAGGUUGUUUCUAUAACUUGGCUGUUGUGAGCAAUCCUGCAGUGAAUGUGGGAGUGCAGAUAUCUUUUUGAGAUGCUGAUUUCAUUUUCUUUGGAUGUAUACCCAGAAGUGGGAUUGCUGGAACAUAUGGUAGUUCCGUUUUUAUUUUUUUGAGUGGAAACAAUUAACAAAAUGAAAAAGCAACAUAUGGAAUAGGAGAAAAUAUUUGCAGAUGAUGUUUCUGAUAAGGGAUUAAUUUCCAAAUAGCCAAAAAAAAAAAUACCUUAAAUAACCAGAUUAAAAAUGGAUAAAGGUUCUGAGUAGAAAUUUCUCCAAAGAAUAUGUACAAUGGCCAACAGGUAUAUAAAAAUGCGCUCAACAUUAUGAAACAUAGGGGGUAAAUCAAGACACAUUGAGAUGUUACCUCACACUGUUUAGGAUGGCUAUUAGUGGGGAAAAAAAAAAAAGAUAGGGUGGUGAGGAUGUGAAGGAAAGGGAGGAAAUCCUUGAGCCUUUUUGGUAGGAGUGUAAUUGGUACAGCCAUGACAGAAAACAGCAUGGAGGUUUCCUUUCCUUCUCUGAUUGUAUGGGUUCCUUUCCCCUAGAAAAUUCCAUGCUGCAAAUAUAUGUUACUUCCAGAACAGAUAGGGUGUCUUCAGAAACUGUUUUAUCAAAGUGCAUAGAUACUUUGAGAGUUUAAGAGGAAGUAUCCAUUUAUUAUUAACAUCAGCAUUGUUUGUAUAGUUUUAUAAUUUAUUGUCAUUUAGUAACACCUAGGAAUGCAUUUGAUUUAUGAGAUUGAUUUUCUUUUUUUUUUUAUAAUUUUUUUAUUUUCCCACUGUACAGCAAGGGGUUCAGGUUAUCCUUACAUGUAUACAUUACAAUUACAUUUUUCCCCCACCCUUUGUUCUGUUGCAACAUGAGUAUCUAGACAAAGUUCUCAAUGCUAUUCAGCAGGAUCUCCUUGUAAAUCUAUUCUAAGUUGUGUCUGAUAAGCCCAAGCUCCUGAUCCCUCCCACUCCCUCCCCCUCCCAUCAGGCAGCCACAAGUCUCUUCUCCAAGUCCAUGAUUUUCUUUUCUGAGGAGAUGUUCAUUUGUGCUGGAUGUUAGAUUCCAGUUAUAAGUGAUAUUAUAUGGUAUUUGUCUUUGUCUUUCUAGCUCAUUUCACUCAGUAUGAGAUUCUCUAGUUCCAUCCAUGUUGCUGCAAAUGGCAUUAUGUCAUUCUUUUUUAUGGCUGAGUAGUAUUCCAUUGUGUAUAUAUACCACCUCUUCUGAAUCCAAUCAUCUGUCGAUGGACAUUUGGGUUGUUUCCAUGUCCUGGCUAUUGUGAAUAGUGCUGCAAUGAACAUGCGGGUGCAUGUGUCUCUUUUAAGUAGAGAUUUGUCCAGAUAGAUGCCCAAGAGUGGGAUUGCGGGGUCAUAUCGCAGUUCUAUGUAUAGAUUUCUAAGGUAUCUCCAAACUGUUCUCCAUAGUGGCUGUACCAGUUUCCAUUCCCACCAGCAGUGCAGGAGGGUUCCCUUUUAUGAGAUUGAUUUUCUAUUGGGCAUAGAAUCAAAUGUAGCCUGAGGGCACAAAACAGGGAUCAGAGAAGGGGAGGGUAGAGGUUCAGUCUAGGAACAGGACUAAGUCAAUAGAACAUGACUUUCUGAACAUAAGAUCCUGCCUUCAGCUUGAAAAGUCUUCUUAGAAAACAACCUAAGAGUCAUUAUACUUUUGGUAUGAGAAUUAACUGGAGUUCCCAUGUGGCUCAGUGGGAAUGAACCUGACUAGCAUCCAUGAGGACUCAGGUUCACUCCCUGGCCUUGCUCAGUGGGCAAGAGAUCCAGCAUUGCCAUGAGCUGUGGUGUAGGUCACAGACAUGGCUCAGAUCUGGCAUUGCUGUGGUGGAGGCUGGCAGCUGUAGCUCCAAUUCGACCCCUAGCCUGGGAACCUCCAUAUGCUGAAAGUAUGACCGUAAAAAUUAAAAAAAAAAAAAA